UAAUACUAUUUUAAAAUGGGGAAAGCUUCUACAAGCACCUUGGUCAGUUCCAGGUGUAGAAGUUACAUAGUAGAUCAGAACCACAACUUUUAACUUCAACAAGUAGUACCAAAACAAGCAUCUACAUUGUAUAAAAUAACAACACAACACUAGCAUACUUGAAAGGUGUUUAUACCACACUACUAACAAAUCACAACACAGACUUACUUGCAGCACUGAGGAAUAACUUCUUCUCAGUAAAGUCACAACUUGAAGCAGUUUUUCUUAUGAAAAACAAAACAAAACAAAAAACACAGAAGUUUUCUUCAACAAAACACCACUAGCAUUCUGUUAUCUCAAUACCAGUGAGGCACAGCAGGAGAUACUUAGGCCAUAUGUUGUACGGCUGCUCUGUGUUAUUAUCUGCCUCACCUGGUAAGGGUGAGGUAAAACUAUUUCCCUCCUUUUCCACUGUUCAAAAGAGCUUAACAAAGUCUGAGGAAAAUGCCUUGACUCUCCUUAUCCUGUAAUGGGGGAUGCACCCUGCCAUCAUGUUAUCUCACUGUGCUCUGCAGUGGAAGUUUCCAGAAAGCACUGAGCAGGGCAGGGCUGUGCUGCUAGGCCUAGGUGAAAUGGCGGCGUUUCCACAACCUGCACAGGCUGUGAGGAGCACUUCAGUCUGUGACACCACAGGAAAGCUCACUGUGAAGGAGAAUACCACCUUGCUUUGCUGCUUUGUCGCUGCUAAUGACAUAAACUGCACAAAUCCUCUGAAUUGCAUACAUGAUCUGUAGCUUCUCUGAAAACAAGACCUGCUGUUCAAGAAGUGGCCAUACAGAGUAGUUAAAAGACCACCUGUACUCGAAGCUGGCAUUUGAAUGAGCCCAAGACUACCAGGCCUAUUUUGGAUCCACUCAAAAGGAAAAUCCAACAAAU
RNAcentral lists this long non-coding RNA (915 nucleotides) under Anser brachyrhynchus (Pink-footed goose). Its description in RNAcentral is "lncRNA (ENSABRG00000010518.1)". Lineage: Eukaryota; Metazoa; Chordata; Aves; Anseriformes; Anatidae. The record is from RNAcentral.